GUGAAUCAUCAAAUUUUUGAACGCAAAUUGCACUCUCUUCGGAGAGUAUGCCUGUUUGAGGGUCAGCCUAAAAAAAAUCGACAUAGUUGCUGUUACGCGGUAACAUUCGUCGGAAAUUGGGUCAUCUUAAACCUUUGGGUUUAAGCGGCUUAAAAUUUUCUUUACGAUUCUAAGGACGUUUCUAAGAUUUUAUUUUUUUAUACUUUGCAUGUAACGUUCUUUAUUAGACGUGGUCGUUU
Molecule: unclassified non-coding RNA, 239 nt
Filed under: Glomus sp.
Lineage: Eukaryota; Fungi; Glomeromycota; Glomeromycetes; Glomerales; Glomeraceae
Description: partial contains 5.8S ribosomal RNA and internal transcribed spacer 2
Rfam family: 5.8S ribosomal RNA (bases 1-65)
Source: RNAcentral